UGGAGCCAAGGGUCCCUUCCAGUAUCAGCACCAUGGCCUGGACUCCUCUCUUUCUCUUGUUUCUCUCCACUUGCUACCCAGGGUCCAACUCCCAGGCUGUGGUGACUCAGGAGCCCUCACUGACUGUGUCCCCAGGAGGGACAGUCACUCUCACCUGUGCUUCCAGCACUGGAACAGUCACCAGUAGUAAUUAUCCCUGCUGGAUCCAGCAAAAACCUGGCCAAGCCCCAAGAACACUGAUUUAUAAUACAAACAGCAAAUACUCCUGGACCCCCGCCCGGUUCUCAGGCUCCCUCCUUGGGGGCAAAGCUGCCCUGACCCUCUCAGGUGCACAGCCUGAGGAUGAGGCUGAGUAUUACUGCUUACUGUACUAUAGUGGUGCUCGGCACAGUGACAGACUCAGAAGAGGAACCAAGACAUAA
Non-coding RNA from Saimiri boliviensis boliviensis (Bolivian squirrel monkey), 422 nucleotides. Lineage: Eukaryota; Metazoa; Chordata; Mammalia; Primates; Cebidae. The record is from the annotation of a RefSeq genome assembly.